This 811-nucleotide ribosomal RNA is filed under the name uncultured Pseudomonadota bacterium. RNAcentral describes it as "bacterial SSU rRNA". It matches the Rfam family "Bacterial small subunit ribosomal RNA", at positions 71 to 859 of the family's 1533-position model. Lineage: Bacteria; Pseudomonadati; Pseudomonadota. The record is from RNAcentral.
AAAGUGGAGCAAUCCAUGAGUAGAGUGGCAAACGGGUGAGUAACGCGUGGGUGACCUGCCUUCGAGCGGGGGAUAACGUUCCGAAAGGGACGCUAAUACCGCAUGACAUCCUGCCUUUGAAGAGGUGGAGAUCAAAGCUGGGGAUCGCAAGACCUAGCACUCGAUGAGGGGCCCGCGUCUGAUUAGCUAGUUGGUGGGGUAACGGCUCACCAAGGCAACGAUCAGUAUCCGGCCUGAGAGGGCGGACGGACACACUGGGACUGAGACACGGCCCAGACUCCUACGGGAGGCAGCAGUGGGGAAUUGUUCGCAAUGGGCGCAAGCCUGACGACGCAACGCCGCGUGGAGGAUGAAGAUCUUCGGGUCGUAAACUCCUUUCGAUCGAGACGAACAGCCUCUGGGUGAACAAUCCGGAGGUCUGACGGUACCGAGAGAAGAAGCCCCGGCUAACUCCGUGCCAGCAGCCGCGGUAAUACGGGGGGGGCAAGCGUUGUUCGGAAUUACUGGGCGUAAAGGGCUCGUAGGCGGCCAACUAAGUCAGACGUGAAAUCCCUCGGCUUAACCGGGGAACUGCGUCUGAUACUGGAUGGCUUGAGUUUGGGAGAGGGAUGCGGAAUUCCAGGUGUAGCGGUGAAAUGCGUAGAUAUCUGGAGGAACACCGGUGGCGAAGGCGGCAUCCUGGACCAACACUGACGCUGAGUGAGCGAAAGCCAGGGGAGCAAACGGGAUUAGAUACCCCGGUAGUCCUGGCCCUAAACGAUGAAUGCUUGGUGUGGCGGGUAUCGAUCCCUGCCGUGCCGAAGCUAACGCA